RNAcentral lists this ribosomal RNA (789 nucleotides) under uncultured bacterium. Its description in RNAcentral is "bacterial SSU rRNA". It matches the Rfam family "Bacterial small subunit ribosomal RNA", at positions 8 to 794 of the family's 1533-position model. The record is from RNAcentral.
AGAGUUUGAUCAUGGCUCAGAUUGAACGCUGGCGGCAUGCCUUACACAUGCAAGUCGAACGGUAACGCGGGGCAACCUGGCGACGAGUGGCGAACGGGUGAGUAACGCAUCGGAACGUGCCCAGUAGUGGGGGAUAGCCCGGCGAAAGCCGGAUUAAUACCGCAUGCGACCUACGGGUGAAAGCGGGGGACCGCAAGGCCUCGCGCUUCUGGAGCGGCCGAUGUCAGAUUAGGUUGUUGGUAGGGUAAAGGCCUACCAAGCCUGCGAUCUGUAGCUGGUCUGAGAGGACGACCAGCCACACUGGGACUGAGACACGGCCCAGACUCCUACGGGAGGCAGCAGUGGGGAAUUUUGGACAAUGGGCGCAAGCCUGAUCCAGCCAUGCCGCGUGCGGGAAGAAGGCCUUCGGGUUGUAAACCGCUUUUGUCAGGGAAGAAAUAGCUCGGGCUAAUACCCCGAGUUGAUGACGGUACCUGAAGAAUAAGCACCGGCUAACUACGUGCCAGCAGCCGCGGUAAUACGUAGGGUGCAAGCGUUAAUCGGAAUUACUGGGCGUAAAGCGUGCGCAGGCGGCUUCGCAAGACAGAGGUGAAAUCCCCGGGCUCAACCUGGGAACUGCCUUUGUGACUGCGAGGCUUGAGUAUGGCAGAGGGGGAUGGAAUUCCGCGUGUAGCAGUGAAAUGCGUAGAUAUGCGGAGGAACACCGAUGGCGAAAGCAGUCCCCUGGGCCUGUACUGACGCUCAUGCACGAAAGCGUGGGGAGCAAACAGGAUUAGAUACCCCGGUAGU